Ochotona curzoniae (black-lipped pika) is the source of this 320-nucleotide long non-coding RNA. RefSeq lists it as uncharacterized. Lineage: Eukaryota; Metazoa; Chordata; Mammalia; Lagomorpha; Ochotonidae. The record is from RefSeq and is a predicted model, not a curated record. The transcript has 3 exons.
CUCGGCUGGAAGCUCUCUGCUUUGUGGAGAGCCGAGAGUCCGAAAAGUUCUGCAAGGAGGUUGAACCGGAUAGAACAGCCGCGGCUACAGGUUAACCUCGCUAAGUAGGAAUUUACCGAAGACUCGCACCGGCUUUUAAUAAUCUCAUCAGCGCGCUGUGCUUAAACAAGGUGUGUUCUGGUGUAAAGCUCCAGAGCUCCUGCACCCAGGCCCUGCUGGUGUAUAGAGGGGAACUACCAAUAAUGUGACAUCCACAUGGGCAGAAAACUUACUGAAUUCGUUUACUAACAAACAACUAUGUCUACAACAGUACUUGGGCC